CUUUGUUUCUCCUUCUGAGAGAUGUCUGCUGUGACUGGAAUGUGCUGUGGAAAAGUGAGAAACUGGAGGAGGAAGAAUUGUUACUGAUCUGGAGCAACAGGAAGAACAGAGUGCACCUAUAAAGCUUGGAACUGCUGUUCUGAAAAGUCACUAAAAUGUUUAAAUUUGUGGAGUGCAUCAGGGCCAGAAAACCACAAUCUUUAAGAAGCAAAGAACUUACACAUCAAAUAGCUUACAUUUUUCCUGCUGAAAACCACCUAUGUACAUUUUAAAGGACUCGUGAAAAGGUUUUGAAUUCUCCAGCCU
Molecule: long non-coding RNA, 306 nt
Filed under: Dromaius novaehollandiae (emu)
Lineage: Eukaryota; Metazoa; Chordata; Aves; Casuariiformes; Dromaiidae
Description: lncRNA (ENSDNVG00000000151.1)
Source: RNAcentral